CACCGCGGUUAUACGAGUGGCCCAAGUUGUUAGCCCUCGGCGUAAAGAGUGGUUAGAGCGACACACACAACACUGAGGCCGAACACCUUCAGAGCAGUGAUACGCUUCCGAAGGCAUGAAGCACACCCACGAAAGUAGCCUCACCCAACUUGAACCCACGAAAGCUAAGACA
Molecule: ribosomal RNA, 172 nt
Filed under: Lagocephalus lunaris (lunartail puffer)
Lineage: Eukaryota; Metazoa; Chordata; Actinopteri; Tetraodontiformes; Tetraodontidae
Description: partial 12S rRNA
Source: RNAcentral